Molecule: ribosomal RNA, 534 nt
Filed under: Triticum aestivum (bread wheat)
Lineage: Eukaryota; Viridiplantae; Streptophyta; Magnoliopsida; Poales; Poaceae
Description: partial small subunit ribosomal RNA
Source: RNAcentral
AUGGAGAUGAAACCCAAAAGAUUUUCGUUGGGGCGUAACCCUCUCAGCGACGCGCCACAUCGGAACCCGGGUGUGGUGGAAAAUGGGCACGGGCCGGACCGUCACCCCCCAAGUGGCGCGCCGUAUCUUGAUCCGGAUACGGUGGCAAGUGAGCGAGGAUCGGGUCGUCGCAUCCUUAGUGGCACGCUACAUCGGCGCCCGGAUGUAGUGGAAAAUGAGCAAGGGUCUUCGCAUUUGACUCGACGAGUGCGAAGGGUAAGGAAGCUAGCCGAGCCUAGGAGGAUUCGCUUAGGUAGCUGGAACGUAGGGCCUCUGACAGGGAAGCUUCGGGAGCUAGUUGAUGGAGCGGUGAGGAGAGGGGUUGAUAUCCUUUGCGUCCAAGAAACCAAAUGGAGAGGACAGAAGGCGAAGGAGGUGGACGACACCGGCUUCAAGCUGUGGUACACGAGGACGGCUGCAAACAGAAAUGGCGUAGGCAUCUUGAUCAACAAGAGCCUCAAGUAUGGAGUGGUAGACGUCAAGAGACGUGGGGAC